UUGGAUACUGGGGAUGCUGGGGGGGAGACUGGGAAGGGCUUCUGGGCAAAGAAACCAACCUUUGAGAGAAACAAGAGUGGGCUCUAUGGCCCAUCCUCACCUUGUUUCCCUUAAUAAAGGUCAGUUCCUUUGCCCAGAGAGGCUUUCCAGUUUCUGUCUUACACCAGUUACUUCAGGAUUGCUCUCUAUGGAAAUAUCUAGACUGACAUCACUCAGCGGACAAGAUCUUAGUGGCAGGAUACCUGUUCUGGGAACAUUCCACUUACUACAGGCUUCCUCUCUGGGGAAGCACAGCAAGAGAAAAAUUGGCCAUUUAAUGAAAUAGAGGCCGCUGAAGCAUUCCUGAUGAAAAGACAAGAGCUGAGAAGAAAAUGUGACUCGCAAAUUGAAGACUGAAAAGCAGCAUUCAAAGGUAAAUAUCAUCAUAGCGGCCUCUCAAGUAACUCAUUAUUGAUACACUGUGUACUCUUCUAAAAGGGAAGAUGAUAACCAUAUCUCCUAAGAAUUUUAUCUUUAAAUAGGUAGAAGCAGGUAGAAGCAUUCAAGCUAGAAAGAGGUUUUGGAAAUGAACCAUCUAGAUGGGGAAGAUGUAAAAUAGAUAGGUGAGAAGUAUGGAUGCCCUGGGAGAUGGUAGAAGGGAGAGAAGUAAUGGAGGAAAUGAUCCCAUAAAAUAAGCAUUCAAGGAAGAGCUUUUGCCUUGGAUUGGAAAAUGACGAGGUACCAAACUGAAGGGCAGGAGCACUCCAUCCUCUAAAUUGGUUCAAAGAGGGGAAAUAUUGAUAUCUGUAUUUAUAGGUACUACUUCCAUGGGUCAAAAAAAUCUAUUUUACCCUAAAGGUAAGUAGGCAAAUGGAAGAGGAGAAGGAAAAAGUGGUGAUAAACGUUGGGCCGUUAAUAGAAUGCAGUGGUCAUGUGCAAAAUAGAAACUAGCGGGGGAAUGGGGAUAAAAAGAGAGAAAGAAAAACAGAAUCAACUACAAUAUGACUGUGUUAAUGGGAUGAACUCACUCCUAAAUGCAAGUGGGCAGUAAAAUGAAUUAGAAACCAGACUUCCAGACUGUGUUUGUUCUUUUUCUUUUUUGUAUUUUGAAUAGAAACAUAUUUGAAAGAAAGAGAGAACCAGAGUUAAAAUAGAAGGCUAAAGCAGAAACUUUUAUAUCUCAUAUGAAGGAUAAAAUAUAAAGAAAGCAAUCAUGACAUCAGAAAAAAAUGCAGAGCAAAAUGAGGCCUCAGUGAAAGGGAUUAGUGUGCAACCUAAUUCUUCUUUAGGGAAAAGAGGAUUCAAAUUCUUAAAGGAAAAAUUAACUGCAUUACAGGAAGAAAUAGACAAUAAAACUAUAAUGGCAGGGGACCUCAACUUUCCCUGUGUGACCUAGACAAAUACAAUCAUAAAGUAAAUAAGAAAAAAGUCGAAGAAAGUAAUAAAAUUUAGAUGACUUAGAAAACUUAGAUAUCAAGGUCCUCUAGAGAAAACUCAAUAGGACCUGAAUGUACUACAGACAGAUGUUGCUUUAUUUCAAUUCUUAUUAUGCAAAUAGGAUUUUAUGCAAGGAAUUCCCCAAACCACCUUUGUACUAUACUGGGAUCUCAUUCAACUCCUGCCCUUCAAUUCGGUACUCUGUGGCCUCCUAUCACCAAUGCCCCCCCAAAAAACCUUUUAAAAGCCCUCUCCAGCAGAAAGCAGAACAACAGAUCUGUAGAGAGAGCCACCACCACUGAUGGAUCCGGGUUUGCCUUAAGACCUCCAGUACUGAUGCAGGACAACUUGCUUUCAAUGCACC
This 1780-nucleotide long non-coding RNA is filed under the name Sarcophilus harrisii (Tasmanian devil). Its description in RNAcentral is "lncRNA (ENSSHAG00000031615.1)". Lineage: Eukaryota; Metazoa; Chordata; Mammalia; Dasyuromorphia; Dasyuridae. The record is from RNAcentral.